GACGAACGCUGGCGGCGUGCUUAACACAUGCAAGUCGUACGGUAAGGCCCUUUCUGUGGUACUCGAGUGGCGAACGGUUGAGUAACACGUUCGUAACCUGCCCACAACUUUGGGAUAACGCUAGGAAACUGGUUCUAAUACUGUAUAUGUGCUCCUGCUGCAUGGUUUGGGUUGGUAAUCUCCGUCGGUUGUGUAUGGACUCUCGGCCUAUCAGCUUGUUGGUGGGGUAGUGUCCUACCAAGGCGGCGACGGGUAGCCGGGCUGAGAGGGUUACCGGCCAAAUUGGGACUGAGAAAAGGGCCAGACUGCUAAGGGAGGGAGAAGGGGGGAAAAUUGAACAAUGGGGGCAAGGGUGAGGCAGAAACGACGCGGGAGGGAUGACGGCCUUCGGGUUGGAAACCGAAUUCAGCAGGGACGAAGCUUUUUGUGACGGUACCUGCAGAAGAAGCACCGGCUAACUACGUG
RNAcentral lists this ribosomal RNA (465 nucleotides) under uncultured bacterium. RNAcentral's name for it is "partial 16S ribosomal RNA". It matches the Rfam family "Bacterial small subunit ribosomal RNA", at positions 28 to 507 of the family's 1533-position model. The record is from RNAcentral.